RNAcentral lists this ribosomal RNA (253 nucleotides) under uncultured bacterium. RNAcentral describes it as "partial 16S ribosomal RNA". It matches the Rfam family "Bacterial small subunit ribosomal RNA", at positions 524 to 776 of the family's 1533-position model. The record is from RNAcentral.
UACAGAGGUCCCAAGCGUUGUUCGGAUUCAUUGGGCGUAAAGGGUGCGUAGGUGGCAUGGUAAGUUGGGUGUGAAAUCCCGGGGCUCAACCCCGGAACUGCACUCGAUACUGCCGUGCUCGAGUACUGGAGAGGAGACUGGAAUUUACGGUGUAGCAGUGAAAUGCGUAGAUAUCGUAAGGAAGACCGGUGGCGAAGGCUAGUCUCUGGACAGUUACUGACACUGAGGCACGAAGGCCAGGGGAGCAAACGGG